AGCCCCGGCGGCGCAGCCCGCGCGGGAGGGGCGGGGGCUCCGUCCCGGCCUGUUGUGGGGCCGAGCGCGGGCGGGAGCCAGGGUGUCUGAGUCAGAGCUGCAUCCUCGUAGGAAUAAACGCCAAAACUCCCUCUUCGGCCGCUCUCGCACCCCCAGUCUCCGGCUUCUUCCUCACGACCGUCGAUGCCGUCAGCAUACGUGUUCUUUAUGAAUCUCUUAACAGCACAUUUUCGGCCUAGACUGCGCGAAAAGCCGGGCAGACCUGCCGGAUCUCACACACGCAGAAGAACUACCUGAGGGGCGGGGAAGAGGGGAACGAGAAAGGAGCGGGAGCUUUUGCAGACCUGCUCAGGAGGUUCUGACUGAAACUCUCAGUAAGACACUCGAGGCUGAGAAUCUUCCCCGAAGCGUUUAAGACUCAAAGGCAAGUGGGAGAAAGCUUCUUUCUUUAAAGCGAGUUGGGACAGUACUCCCUGAAGGCAUUUCUCUUCUGCAGGGAAUGAGACAAUCAGCGAACAAGCCUCGUUUGCCCUUUAGGCAACAGCGCUCGGGGAGCAGGAAUGGCGCGCUUCCAUCCAGACCAGCGGGCGCUGCCAAAGCCAGGAGCUCGCUCAGCCUUUCAGGGCAGGCACAGCCCCGGCCAUUCCUAUGGAGCCCCCCUUCCUACCACCAUCUCUCCUCCCAGCUCCCGCUGUACCCGUACGCCGCCCUGCCUCCCCUGCCCGGCUUCAGCCCCUCCAGCGAUACGGCUGAUGGAGGGAGGGGAGGCGGCGGCUGGGGUUUCGUUCGACGCCCACCAGGGGCUGAGCGAGCCUCCUUCAGUGCGCAAACUCGGGGCACCAGAUAAAAGCUGGGCUGGCAGCUCUUACCCUGCCUCGAUGGAGCCGCCACAUUCGGGUGACUGGAGAAGCAGUUAGCAGCAGCGCCAUAGCCUAGCGUCCCCCCACACCUUGGGCACAGAGAGUUUGGGGCUCUAAACAGCUGCUGCUGCGGCAGGAGGGAGCCGAGGUGAAGGGAUCUGCUAGCUGGUUGGACGCAGAGGAGGCGGCUGUAAUGGGGCAUUAAGUCUGAGGGAGGAGGGGGGGCGAUUAAACGUCUUGUGAUCAUGGCGGAGUCUAUGGGUAUUUUUUUCCUGUCUAACACUUCUGUGCGUGUGUCUCUUGUUUCUUUCUUUCUCUCUCCUUAGGGCGCUUGGCUGGGGCUGCUCGCUCGGGUUCUGCCUGUUGUUGCGCGAAAUGGCGGCUGGCGUCUUGCUACCCUAGGUGAAAGUACACUAAAGGAAGACUUGCUGAAAUCUGAAGAGGGAGACAGGCUCAGUCACUCCAACUCCAGUGGUUCCAGAAUCUGUAAUGUAGACAGGAUAAUUUUUUUCCGUGCAGUUAGUGCUGUACUUUUUUUUGCUGGUUUCUCGGGGGAAAAGAUUCAACAUGUUGAAUCACAGAGAUGUUACUUCCUGCUGGGUUUUGGGAUUUCCUUGCAGCUCUCCCCUCCGUGGCUGCAGGAACUGUUUUUGCUUAGUGCAUGUUCUAAGGCAGGAACUUGCUGGAGAUGAAGAGAGAAGCCAACUAGUUCUGUGCUGAAUGUAAUAGUUUCUGACUCAAAUUGUGUGGUAAUUGUCAAAAUAUCAUAGGGUGUGGUAGGAACUGCUUUGUCAAACAUGUCUGAGGAUUUAUUCCUUUAUCAUUUGCCUAAAUAAGUAUAAUGUGCUAAUCUGAAUUAACAUACCAAAGUCGGGGAGAAGAUUACUUGAUGUAUUCUAGCCACUUGAAACCUGAUUGUGUGCAAAAAUAAAUUUCAGCAUGCUGGA
Cinclus cinclus is the source of this 1807-nucleotide long non-coding RNA. RefSeq lists it as uncharacterized. Lineage: Eukaryota; Metazoa; Chordata; Aves; Passeriformes; Cinclidae. The transcript is spliced from 2 exons. The record is from RefSeq and is a predicted model, not a curated record.